Folsomia candida is the source of this 1070-nucleotide long non-coding RNA. RefSeq lists it as uncharacterized. The record is from RefSeq and is a predicted model, not a curated record. The transcript is spliced from 3 exons. Lineage: Eukaryota; Metazoa; Arthropoda; Collembola; Entomobryomorpha; Isotomidae.
CCUACCUUUCGAACCGAAAUAAUCUAAAGAGAUCCCAAACUUCGAGAAAUUUCGAGAAACCAUGAAGCUAGUUUUUGUCCUCGUUGCCUCCUUGGUUAUAGUUGGAGCAGCUGCCCAAACUACAGCGCCAACCAUCCGGCCAACGACGCCACCCUCGGGGGCAUCGUCAACGACAAACACCCCUAACCCUUUGAAUAACCCGGUCACCUUCAUCGUAAACCAGGUCAGGGGGCUCUGUUACUCAGGAUCCUGGAUGCGUUCACCACUGCGCUCUUGCCCAAUCCGGAGCAGCUGAAUGUCCUCGCGGCCCAGCUGUCACAGCUCGUGAAACAGCUGAACUCCCUGUCCGGUCAAUUAUCACGUGCUGUACUGCCUCUCGUAGACCAGCUGAUAGACACCGUUACAAAUUUACAGAUUCAACUGGACACCAAGAUUGACUCGGUGCAAGCCAAAUUGAAUCAAGCAGUUGAUAAAGGACAAACCUUGGUGGCGAGGCAAAUUAAAAAAGUUGUUGAUGGCUUGACCGCAAUCGAAGAAAUUUUGGAUCAACUUGAAUCCAUCCUGGAGAGUCUGCAGCAAUCCAUUGGGGGUGCGACGACCACCGCGCGGACGGGUCCGACCGCAGGUGUCCCCAGUACAACUAUUAACUAUACUAGCUUUUAGCACAGGCGUUUCUAAAUACGACGUGAAUGAAGUUUUGCGAAAAAUGGGAUACUUUAAAAAAAUAAAAAUACACCUUCCAAUUAAAAUGUACAGCUUAUGCCACGUGCGUACCUAAGUAUCUAUUAGUAAAAUAAUAAGAUAAUAAUAGGUUUGAGAAAUUAACUAUGUAGACAUAAAGUUUCCACUUUUGAAAGAAAUUUUAAGCUACACUUUACAAUUUGUUAGAAAUUUUUUUUAAAGGUCACUUACACAAAUUCUCGUAACUCAAUUUUGUCGAGUAUGUAUGGCAUAGUAUGCUACUUGAAAUUGCUAAUUAUAGGUCCACAAGAAGGAAAAAGUUGCACUGAAAAUGUCAAAGUUGCAAAAUUAAAAAAAAAGUUAAGUAAUAAAAACAUGGUCGAAACUUU